CCAAGUUCGUGCGUUGUAACCAAGUCGGCCUCCUUUGUGAGGAUGGUUUUCCCAUAGUUCUUGGUGCUGGUUAAGCCACUGUUCAGAUAGAUGUCCUUCUUUACAAUCGGACUGUGAUAAGCUUUAGGACAAAUGCCACCAUGGCUGUUAGGUCUGGGAGAACCAACGUAAGCCAGUCCAAGUGUUCCCAUAUCAAAAUCUUGGUAUGUGAAGAGAUGAGCAAGGCACACAUGAGCUGCUUUCUCAGCAAUAUCAAAGCUAAAUUGCUCUAGCAGCAUUUUCACAUCCCAAGCAUCCUUCUUGUCAUCUGGAUAACUUUUUGCCAUAUUGUAAUGCUUUCCUCCAGGUGCUACACGUUCUGGCUCACUGUGGAUGAUAAUCUGCUCUAUCUGUAUGCCGUAACCUUUGAAGGCCUCAUUGUCCCACGAAGUAUUUCGGUAGAUGUCAUCCACUCUGUCUAUCAAUUCAAUCAAAUAGUUUAUAGUAGUACUCUCUUCCCCUCGGCCCAUGUACUUGAAAAACCGAUGAUCUGCCACUACCAACAUCUUGCAGGUAUCUUUGGAGCUCUCUGGAAUGGCUCUUUUCUCCCGGUGGAUGCUUGCUUCAUUUUGUUUACUCUCUUCCAGUCCUUUAGGUAAAAGUUCAUCUUCGUUCAGCUUUAAAUAACCACAUACUUUAGGGGAUUGCAGACGUGAGAAAUCUUUGAUAUCUUCAGAUCUGUAGACCAGCAAUCUUUCAUCUUGAACAUUAUCUAUAAAUCUCCACAGGGGCUCUAUAUUGUAUUCUUCUCCAUCAGUAUUGAUUCUUACAGUAAAGUCUUCAUCCCCGAUGUGUGCCACAACUUUGGAAUUAUGCUCCCCAACAACAUGUCCCGUGAAAAAGUCUUGCCAUUGAACACGAUACUCCUUUUCCUUCCCUUCACCAUCCACAAUUAAUGCUUGAAAUCUUUCUGAAAAGUGUUCAGCAGUUGCAGUUAAGUAUAAUUUAAAGUGCCUUUGCAGGGCUGAGAAACUUAAAAGCCUCUCUACAUGAGUCUCAGGCUGGAGGUCUCUCUUCUUCAGUGAGUGCUGCUGGAUACUGGACUGAGAAAGGAUGUCAUAGUUUGAGAGCAUGGAUUCAACUGCAUCGUAGCGCUGCUCGCGCGGCAGCCGCCCCAGCGCCUGCAGCCCGCCCGGCGCCCAGAGCAGCGCCAGGGCAGAGACCAGCCACAGCCGGAGUCUCAUGGUCCGAGCGCGCGGCUCCCUCCCGCUCCUCCGUCCGCCCGCUCCUCCGUUCCGUCGCUCACAUUCGGUCCGGCCAACUUCGCGCCCCGCCCGCCCGCAGCACCUCACGCCGCCCCGG
This 1341-nucleotide long non-coding RNA is filed under the name Gallus gallus (chicken). Lineage: Eukaryota; Metazoa; Chordata; Aves; Galliformes; Phasianidae. The record is from RNAcentral.